RNAcentral lists this ribosomal RNA (394 nucleotides) under Salmonella enterica subsp. enterica serovar Infantis. RNAcentral describes it as "partial 23S ribosomal RNA". It matches the Rfam family "Bacterial large subunit ribosomal RNA", at positions 161 to 591 of the family's 2925-position model. Lineage: Bacteria; Pseudomonadati; Pseudomonadota; Gammaproteobacteria; Enterobacterales; Enterobacteriaceae. RNAcentral also lists the same sequence under 25 other names. The record is from RNAcentral.
AAUCCAUAGGUUAAUGAGGCGAACCGGGGGAACUGAAACAUCUAAGUACCCCGAGGAAAAGAAAUCAACCGAGAUUCCCCCAGUAGCGGCGAGCGAACGGGGAGGAGCCCAGAGCCUGAAUCAGCAUGUGUGUUAGUGGAAGCGUCUGGAAAGGCGCGCGAUACAGGGUGACAGCCCCGUACACAAAAGCGCAUGUGCUGUGAGCUCGAUGAGUAGGGCGGGACACGUGGUAUCCUGUCUGAAUAUGGGGGGACCAUCCUCCAAGGCUAAAUACUCCUGACUGACCGAUAGUGAACCAGUACCGUGAGGGAAAGGCGAAAAGAACCCCGGCGAGGGGAGUGAAAAAGAACCUGAAACCGUGUACGUACAAGCAGUGGGAGCACAGGUUUACCUG